CAAUAGCGUAUAUUUAAGUUGUUGCAGUUAAAAAGCUCGUAGUUGGAUUUCGGGUGGGACGCAGCGGUCUCGCAUUGCGUUUGUACUGCUGCAGACCUCCUUCUUGCCGGGGGCGGCCUCUCGGACUUCACUGUCUGGGGGUCAGAAUCGGCGAUGUUACUUUGAGUAAAUUAGAGUGUUCAAAGCAAGCUUACGCUCUGAAUAUAAUAGCAUGGGAUAACACGACAGGACUCUGGCCUAUCGUGUUGGUCUAUAGGACCAGAGUAAUGAUUAAGAGGGACAGUCGGGGGCAUUCGUAUUCCGUUGUCAGAGGUGAAAUUCUUGGAUUUACGGAAGACGAACAUCUGCGAAAGCAUUUGCCAAGGAUGUUUUCAUUGA
This 378-nucleotide ribosomal RNA is filed under the name uncultured eukaryote. Its description in RNAcentral is "partial 18S ribosomal RNA". It matches the Rfam family "Eukaryotic small subunit ribosomal RNA", at positions 592 to 976 of the family's 1831-position model. The record is from RNAcentral.